RNAcentral lists this transfer RNA (88 nucleotides) under Bacteroides sp. D20. Its description in RNAcentral is "tRNA-Ser". It matches the Rfam family "tRNA". Rfam says of the family: Transfer RNA (tRNA) molecules are approximately 80 nucleotides in length. Their secondary structure includes four short double-helical elements and three loops (D, anti-codon, and T loops). Lineage: Bacteria; Pseudomonadati; Bacteroidota; Bacteroidia; Bacteroidales; Bacteroidaceae. The record is from RNAcentral.
GGAGAGGUGGCAGAGUGGUCGAUUGCGGCGGUCUUGAAAACCGUUGUGCUGCGAGGUACCCGGGGUUCGAAUCCCUGUCUCUCCGCAA